Pseudomassariella vexata is the source of this 72-nucleotide transfer RNA. It matches the Rfam family "tRNA". Rfam says of the family: Transfer RNA (tRNA) molecules are approximately 80 nucleotides in length. Their secondary structure includes four short double-helical elements and three loops (D, anti-codon, and T loops). The record is from Rfam. Lineage: Eukaryota; Fungi; Ascomycota; Sordariomycetes; Amphisphaeriales; Pseudomassariaceae.
UCCGAAUUGGUGUAGUGGCUAACAUUACACGCUCUCACCGUGUAGCCCGGGGUUCGAUUCCCCGAUUCGGAG